AUCAAAGAUGUCUUGAAGAAUGGAAGAAGUGAUAAGAGGCAAAAGAGGUAAUCUGAUUUUCGAAACUUAUGUUUUUGCAAAACUGAUCUACAU
Long non-coding RNA from Ipomoea nil (Japanese morning glory), 93 nucleotides. RefSeq lists it as uncharacterized. Lineage: Eukaryota; Viridiplantae; Streptophyta; Magnoliopsida; Solanales; Convolvulaceae. The record is from RefSeq and is a predicted model, not a curated record. The transcript has 3 exons.